GUCCACGCCGUAAACGAUGUCAACUAGCUGUUGGUCAUAUUAAUGUGAUUAGUGGCGAAGCUAACGCGAUAAGUUGACCGCCUGGGGAGUACGGUCGCAAGAUUAAAACUCAAAGGAAUUGACGGGGGCCCCGCACAAGCGGUGGAGCAUGUGGUUUAAUUCGAUGCAACGCGAAGAACCUUACCUACCCUUGACAUACAGCGAAUUUUUCAGAGAUGAGAGAGUGCCUUCGGGAACGCUGAUACAGGUGCUUCAUGGCUGUCGU
Molecule: ribosomal RNA, 265 nt
Filed under: uncultured bacterium
Lineage: Bacteria
Description: partial 16S ribosomal RNA
Rfam family: Bacterial small subunit ribosomal RNA
Source: RNAcentral